This 492-nucleotide ribosomal RNA is filed under the name uncultured bacterium. RNAcentral describes it as "partial 16S ribosomal RNA". It matches the Rfam family "Bacterial small subunit ribosomal RNA", at positions 29 to 507 of the family's 1533-position model. The record is from RNAcentral.
AGUGAACGCUGGCGGUAGGCCUAACACAUGCAAGUCGAACGGCAGCACAGUAAGAGCUUGCUCUUACGGGUGGCGAGUGGCGGACGGGUGAGGAAUACAUCGGAAUCUACUUUUUCGUGGGGGAUAACGUAGGGAAACUUACUCUAAUACCGCAUACGACCUACGGGUGAAAGCAGGGGAUCUUCGGACCUUGCGCGAUUGAAUGAGCCGAUGUCGGAUUAGCUAGUUGGCGGGGUAAAGGCCCACCAAGGCGAGGAUCCGUAGCUGGUCUGAGAGGAUGAUCAGCCACACUGGAGCUGAGACACGGUCCAGACUCCUACGGGAGGCCGCAGUGGGGAAUAUUGGACAAUGGGCGCAAGCCUGAUCCAGCCAUACCGCGUGGGUGAAGAAGGCCUUCGGGUUGUAAAGCCCUUUUGUUGGGAAAGAAAAGCAGCAGGUUAAUACCCCGCUGUUCUGACGGUACCCAAAGAAUAAGCACCGGCUAACUUCGUG